GAAAGAAGCCGGCCACACAGAAGGUCCUGUGGCCGAGCCCCGAUUCCACGGGCGGGAAAAUAGUCUCCCCUCUUAGAGGAGAGGACCUGCAAAGUCCCGAGUCAGAGGAAGUGGGCGCACGGAGGGACGACACCUCAGGACCAUGAAGGCAAUCGAUUCCGUGUCUGCUUCUAUGCACACACCGAAGGUGACCUUCGAGCUGGAUCGUGAACCAUGAGCAGUUUUUCCACUGAAGAAGGAGGAAGGGCAUUGCAGGUAGACGGAACAGCAUGUGCAAAAGCCCAGAGUCAUGGAAAGCAGAGAGAAGAGCCAGGUGACCAGUGGGCAUGGAGCAGGGAAUGUACGGCUGGAAAUGGACACGGACUUCCCCACCGGAUCCCCGGUCCUCAGGCAUUUGGACCCGGACAGCACCAUGCCGGCAGCCUUCCUGCAUGUCCGGCUGGUAGAUGCCGACUGUGGGACUUCUCAGCCUCCAGAGUCUCAAGGGUCCAUUUCUAUAAUAAAUCUGUCUAGACAGACAGG
Molecule: long non-coding RNA, 522 nt
Filed under: Equus asinus (donkey)
Lineage: Eukaryota; Metazoa; Chordata; Mammalia; Perissodactyla; Equidae
Description: lncRNA (ENSEASG00005028700.1, ENSEASG00020028762.1)
Source: RNAcentral